AACGGACGAGAAGCUUGCUUCUCUGAUGUUAGCGGCGGACGGGUGAGUAACACGUGGAUAACCUACCUAUAAGACUGGGAUAACUUCGGGAAACCGGAGCUAAUACCGGAUAAUAUUUUGAACCGCAUGGUUCAAAAGUGAAAGACGGUCUUGCUGUCACUUAUAGAUGGAUCCGCGCCGCAUUAGCUAGUUGGUAAGGUAACGGCUUACCAAGGCAACGAUGCAUAGCCGACCUGAGAGGGUGAUCGGCCACACUGGAACUGAGACACGGUCCAGACUCCUACGGGAGGCAGCAGUAGGGAAUCUUCCGCAAUGGGCGAAAGCCUGACGGAGCAACGCCGCGUGAGUGAUGAAGGUCUUCGGAUCGUAAAACUCUGUUAUUAGGGAAGAACAUAUGUGUAAGUAACUGUGCACAUCUUGACGGUACCUAAUCAGAAAGCCACGGCUAACUACGUGCCAGCAGCCGCGGUAAUACGUAGGUGGCAAGCGUUAUCCGGAAUUAUUGGGCGUAAAGCGCGCGUAGGCGGUUUUUUAAGUCUGAUGUGAAAGCCCACGGCUCAACCGUGGAGGGUCAUUGGAAACUGGAAAACUUGAGUGCAGAAGAGGAAAGUGGAAUUCCAUGUGUAGCGGUGAAAUGCGCAGAGAUAUGGAGGAACACCAGUGGCGAAGGCGACUUUCUGGUCGUGUAACUGACGCUGAUGUGCGAAAGCG
This 711-nucleotide ribosomal RNA is filed under the name uncultured Staphylococcus sp. RNAcentral's name for it is "bacterial SSU rRNA". It matches the Rfam family "Bacterial small subunit ribosomal RNA", at positions 65 to 761 of the family's 1533-position model. Lineage: Bacteria; Bacillati; Bacillota; Bacilli; Caryophanales; Staphylococcaceae. The record is from RNAcentral.